GACGAACGCUGGCGGCGUGCCUAAUACAUGCAAGUUGAGCGCUGAAGGUUGGUUCUUGUACCAACUGGAUGAGCAGCGCACGGGUGAGUAACGCGUGUGGAAUCUGCCUUUUAGCGGGGGACAACAUUUGGAAACUAAUGCUAAUACCGCAUAAAAACUUUAAACACAAUUUUUAAGUUUGAAAGAUGCAAUUUCUUCACUCAAAGAUGAUCCCGCGUUGUAUUAGCUAGUUGGUGAGGUAAAGGCUCACCAAGGCGAUGAUACAUAGCCGACCUGAGAGGGUGAUCGGCCAAAAUGGGAAGGAGAAAAGGGCAAAAAUAAUAAGGGAGGCAGCAGUAGGGAAAGUUAGGGAAAGGAAGAAAGUCAGACCGAGAAAAGCCGCGUGAGUGAAGAAGGAUUUAGGAUCGUAAAACACUGUUGGUAGAGAAGAAAGAUGGGGAGAGUGGAAAGCUCAUAAAGUGACGGUAACUAGACAGAAAGGGACGGCUAACUACGUG
Molecule: ribosomal RNA, 497 nt
Filed under: uncultured bacterium
Lineage: Bacteria
Description: partial 16S ribosomal RNA
Rfam family: Bacterial small subunit ribosomal RNA
Source: RNAcentral